GGAAAACACCAGGAUGGGAGCUGGUUGCCAAUGGAGCCAACCAUGUGAGGGGCCGGAGAUUGAAUCAGCUGCCAAUCAAUGUCAAUGAUGCAAUCAAAUGUGGCUAUAUAAUGAAGCUUCCAUGAAAACCCAAGAGAAAGAGGUUCAGAGAGCUUCCAGGUUCGUCCUCAAUGUCUUCCUGAUACCAAUCACAAACUUGCCACAUUACUUCUAAGGGGAAAAAAAAUCAAUGAAUUCUACCACUGUCAUGAAAUGGAGGGUGAUGGAAUCUCAAAUCAAUAUUCAAAGAGAAUGAAGAAAGUCAUACAGCAGGUGCACAAGUCUGAGGCUUUCAAUAAAAGAAACAGUAAUGAUCAAUGAAUGGAAUGACAUGGGUGUCGUCAAACUUUGGAACAAACCUAUGAACACAUGAAUGCAUGACAUAAAAGGUAAGAAGAGAUUUAAAAAGUUCUCUAGCUGUGCCUUGUAUAUCUCCCACAUUUCCUUAGGAAGAUUACUGUUCACCAGGGUCUAUAUUCUGGACCAGAAAAAUGGAAGAAGAAGAUACAUCAAAGACAUUUCUUCACACUUAACAUCCAAGAAAUAUUUACUGACUUCAAGGAAUACAUGUGCUUCCUCCAUGUAUACAAAGUAAAUUGUGUAACAUGUUUUUAGUCUUCUGUGAUGGUUUCUAUUAUCACCACAGAAAAGUAUCCAAAUCAGUUCUGGAUCCUGUUGCUUAUUUGGCUAUAUUCUAAUUAUUAGCACUUUGACAAGCAGAUAUACCUUUCUGCCUGAUAGUUACUCUGAAUCAUUUACUCUGUCUCCCAGUCCAAGCACAUAUCUGGCCACCACAAUGUGUCUACAUACCAGUAUAUUAUUCUCUACUUCCAGAAAUUUCCUGGAUAACAGGAAGGGAAAUAACAAGCUCACCUGCGACUUAGUCAUUUCAGCAGCU
Molecule: long non-coding RNA, 937 nt
Organism: Artibeus jamaicensis (Jamaican fruit-eating bat)
Lineage: Eukaryota; Metazoa; Chordata; Mammalia; Chiroptera; Phyllostomidae
Exons: 3
Source: RefSeq, a predicted model, not a curated record